AUGCUGCCCUUAUAAAGAAAGAAAGAAAGAAAGAAAAAUCCAUAAAUAUACAUCAGAAUGUGCUGUAUAAACAAAAAGGUUGAGAAUAUAAGCCUUGACUCGGCAUAUAGUCUUCACACCUGAAAAGUUAUCGCCGACUGCGUCUCUAAAGCUAUUCGGUCGAAAACGAUUGAAAAUUUAAAUCAGUUUUUUUCGGCGCUUUCUCGUGAACCCACCUCCUUCGUUGUUAUUCCGUAGCUAUUAUUAUACGCCCGGUGUGAGCGUAAGGAUGUAUUUUAAAAAAACUGUGGACGUGGUCUACGUAUUUUUUGUUGUUGGUUUCUUUCUAUAUACUUUGCUGUUGCGGAGUGAGACGAACGAGAAUGGAAUGAAGCUCUGCUGAUGGCAAGUUAACGUCGUUCUGGAACCCCCCAAAAUAUUACGGCCUGGGCAGUCCAGGCCACUUCUUGAUUUGCUGCUGGAGGCGAGACACGAGAAAAGAAA
This is a long non-coding RNA of Daphnia magna, 483 nucleotides long. RefSeq lists it as uncharacterized. Lineage: Eukaryota; Metazoa; Arthropoda; Branchiopoda; Diplostraca; Daphniidae. The transcript is spliced from 2 exons. The record is from RefSeq and is a predicted model, not a curated record.